AUCGCCAUAAAUUUUCACCUCAUUCUAGGGCUUGUGUCUUCCUUGGUUACCUUUCGGGUUACAAAGGAUAUAAACUUCUCGACAUCGAGAGCAAUUAAAUUAUCAUCUCACGUAACAUCAUUUUUCAAGAACAUAUCUUUCUGUUUCUUUCAUCUCACUCACCUGAUCCUAUUCAUAGUGAUUUUUUUUUCAUGAUCGUGUUUUACCUCUUCCUCUCCAUACAUCUACACACUCCUCAAGUUCUCUUGAUACACCUGUCCACUCACAACAUGAGUCUUCCAAAACACUAU
Molecule: long non-coding RNA, 290 nt
Filed under: Carica papaya (papaya)
Lineage: Eukaryota; Viridiplantae; Streptophyta; Magnoliopsida; Brassicales; Caricaceae
Description: long non-coding RNA (CPAP_LNC012531)
Source: RNAcentral